UCCACUUCAGGCUUUUAAAGACGACUGAAGUUCAUGGAAAUUAGCUGCAUGGACUGAAAACAUAUUUCCUCGGUAUAAUGACAGUACAGGUUUUACAUAGAAAUAAUCCAUAAUACAGAAUUUGCUAAAACCAAGCAAAAUGGCUGGAGGAGAGGCAAGACAACAAUCAUAACUCAACAAAACUGGACCGCAUGCUGACAGUAUAGUCACUCCACACAAGGUGCUAAAUGGACUUCAAAACAGGAUUGCUCAAAUGGUUUUCUUCACAAAUCUACAAAGGAGCAAACCAGUGGAUUCUGCAUAUUUCAGGAAGACCAUCACACCAUAAGAUGUAGCAGCAGAAGCAGACCAUUCAGCCUGAGUCUACACGACCUGAUGACUGGUCUGAUAAUUCUCAACUUCAUUACCCUUGGUUCCCUUACUAAUUAAAAUUGGUCUACAUGAACAGGCGAACAAGAACAAGAUUAGGCCAUUCAGCCCUUUGGACUGAAUUUAACUUCAACUCUACAUUCCUGCAUACCUCUGACCAUAUUCAUCUGCUUGGUAAGAAUCUGCCUUAAAAAUAGUUUACAAUUCCACAUCCACUGCCCCUUUUAUUCCAUCACGUUCAACUUUGCUGACAAGCCUG
Hemiscyllium ocellatum (epaulette shark) is the source of this 628-nucleotide long non-coding RNA. RefSeq lists it as uncharacterized. The record is from RefSeq and is a predicted model, not a curated record. The transcript has 3 exons. Lineage: Eukaryota; Metazoa; Chordata; Chondrichthyes; Orectolobiformes; Hemiscylliidae.